CCUACGGGAGGCAGCAGGGAGGAAUAUUGGGCAAUGGACGAGAGUCUGAACCAGCCAAGCAGCGUGAAGGAUGACUGCCCUAUGGGUUGUAAACUUCUUUUAUAUGGGAAUAAAAUGUUCCACGUGAGGGAUUUUGUAUGUACCAUAUGAAUAAGGAUCGGCUAACUCCGUGCCAGCAGCCGCGGUAAUACGGAGGAUCCGAGCGUUAACCGGAUUUAUUGGGUUUAAAGGGAGCGUAGGUGGAUUGUUAAGUCAGUUGUGAAAGUUUGCGGCUCAACCGUAAAAUUGCAGUUUAAACUGGCGUUCUUGAGUACAGUAGUGGUGGGCGGAAGUCGUGGUGUAGCGGUGAAAGGCUUAGAU
Molecule: ribosomal RNA, 360 nt
Filed under: uncultured bacterium
Lineage: Bacteria
Description: partial 16S ribosomal RNA
Rfam family: Bacterial small subunit ribosomal RNA
Source: RNAcentral